Molecule: ribosomal RNA, 124 nt
Filed under: Gossypium raimondii (Peruvian cotton)
Lineage: Eukaryota; Viridiplantae; Streptophyta; Magnoliopsida; Malvales; Malvaceae
Source: RNAcentral
CGGGGCGAUCAUACCAGUCACUAAUGCAUCGGAUCUCCAUCAGAACUCCGCAGUCUAGCGCGCUUGGGCAAGAGUAGUACUAGGAUGAGGUGAACUUCUUGCGAAGUCCUCGAUGUUGCACCCC